RNAcentral lists this ribosomal RNA (465 nucleotides) under Vreelandella stevensii. RNAcentral describes it as "partial 16S ribosomal RNA". It matches the Rfam family "Bacterial small subunit ribosomal RNA", at positions 338 to 795 of the family's 1533-position model. The record is from RNAcentral. Lineage: Bacteria; Pseudomonadati; Pseudomonadota; Gammaproteobacteria; Oceanospirillales; Halomonadaceae.
CCUACGGGCGGCUGCAGUGGGGAAUAUUGGACAAUGGGCGAAAGCCUGAUCCAGCCAUGCCGCGUGUGUGAAGAAGGCCUUCGGGUUGUAAAGCACUUUCAGUGGGGAAGAAAGCCUUGGGGCUAAUACCCUCGAGGAAGGACAUCACCCACAGAAGAAGCACCGGCUAACUCCGUGCCAGCAGCCGCGGUAAUACGGAGGGUGCGAGCGUUAAUCGGAAUUACUGGGCGUAAAGCGCGCGUAGGCGGUCUGAUAAGCCGGUUGUGAAAGCCCCGGGCUCAACCUGGGAACGGCAUCCGGAACUGUCAGGCUAGAGUGCAGGAGAGGAAGGUAGAAUUCCCGGUGUAGCGGUGAAAUGCGUAGAGAUCGGGAGGAAUACCAGUGGCGAAGGCGGCCUUCUGGACUGACACUGACGCUGAGGUGCGAAAGCGUGGGUAGCAAACAGGAUUAGAAACCCGUGUAGUC